Molecule: ribosomal RNA, 83 nt
Filed under: uncultured bacterium
Lineage: Bacteria
Description: partial 16S ribosomal RNA
Source: RNAcentral
CUGCUGCCUCCCGUAGGAGUCUGGUCCGUGUCUCAGUACCAGUGUGGGGGGCCUUCCUCUCAGAACCCCUACGCAUCGUCGGU